CGGGUGAGUAACGCGUGAGGAACCUGCCUCAAAGAGGGGGACAACAGUUGGAAACGACUGCUAAUACCGCAUAAGCCCACAGCUCGGCAUCGAGCAGAGGGAAAAGGAGUGGUCCGCUUUGAGAUGGCCUCGCGUCCGAUUAGCUAGUUGGUGAGGUAAUGGCCCACCAAGGCGACGAUCGGUAGCCGGACUGAGAGGUUGAACGGCCACAUUGGGACUGAGACACGGCCCAG
RNAcentral lists this ribosomal RNA (233 nucleotides) under uncultured bacterium. Its description in RNAcentral is "partial 16S ribosomal RNA". It matches the Rfam family "Bacterial small subunit ribosomal RNA", at positions 103 to 334 of the family's 1533-position model. The record is from RNAcentral.